UGCAGUCGAGCGGACUUUGGGAGCUUGCUCCCGAAGUUUAGCGGCGGACGGGUGAGUAACACGUGGGCAACCUGCCCUGCAGAUCGGGAUAACUCCGGGAAACCGGUGCUAAUACCGAAUAGUUUUUUGUCCCUCCUGGGACGGAACGGAAAGACGGUUUCGGCUGUCACUGCAGGAUGGGCCCGCGGCGCAUUAGCUAGUUGGUGGGGUAACGGCCCACCAAGGCGACGAUGCGUAGCCGACCUGAGAGGGUGAUCGGCCACACUGGGACUGAGACACGGCCCAGACUCCUACGGGAGGCAGCAGUAGGGAAUCUUCCGCAAUGGACGAAAGUCUGACGGAGCAAUGCCGCGUGAGUGACGAAGGUUUUCGGAUCGUAAAACUCUGUUGUAAGGGAAGAACAAGUACCAAGUAACUACUGGUACCUUGACGGUACCUUACCAGAAAGCCACGGCUAACUACGUGCCAGCAGCCGCGGUAAUACGUAGGUGGCAAGCGUUGUCC
RNAcentral lists this ribosomal RNA (504 nucleotides) under Planomicrobium sp. CB17. RNAcentral describes it as "bacterial SSU rRNA". It matches the Rfam family "Bacterial small subunit ribosomal RNA", at positions 56 to 546 of the family's 1533-position model. Lineage: Bacteria; Bacillati; Bacillota; Bacilli; Caryophanales; Caryophanaceae. The record is from RNAcentral.